ACAAAAGGGCAACGUGAAAAUUAUUAUUUUAGUUUCGAGGGAACGUUUUUCGAUUUUCAAAUAGGAAGUACUUUCGCGUACGAUUUCUAUACGUCUAAGAGCGUUUUAUUCCACCACAAGCGUACACCCGGAAACCCAUCUAAAGACCGGAUGUUGAUUGUAUGUUUCGAGCAGUCUGUAAGUUUCACUGUAUGCAAUAAUAAUACGUACGUUCUCGUUCUUUUAUGUUUUGCAAAUACCAAGCUGG
Molecule: non-coding RNA, 247 nt
Organism: Cinara cedri
Lineage: Eukaryota; Metazoa; Arthropoda; Insecta; Hemiptera; Aphididae
Source: the annotation of a GenBank genome assembly